CCUACGGGAGGCAGCAGUCGGGAAUUUUGGGCAAUGGGCGAAAGCCUGACCCAGCAACGCCGCGUGAAGGAUGAAGUAUUUCGGUAUGUAAACUUCGAAAGAAUAGGAAGAAUUAAUGACGGUACUAUUUAUAAGGUCCGGCUAACUACGUGCCAGCAGCCGCGGUAAUACGUAGGGACCAAGCGUUGUUCGGAUUUACUGGGCGUAAAGGGCGCGUAGGCGGUGCGGUAAGUCACUUGUGAAAUCUCUGAGCUUAACUCAGAACGGCCAAGUGAUACUGCAGUACUAGAGUGCAGAAGGGGCAAUCAGAAUUCUUGGUGUAGCGGUGAAAUGCGUAGAUAUCAAGAGGAAUACCUGAGGUGAAGACGGGUUGCUAGGCUGACACUGACGCUGAGGCGCGAAAGCUAGGGGAGCAAACGGGAUUAGAUACCCCGGUAGUCCUAGCCCUAAACGAUGAAUACUUGGUGUCUGGAGUUUUUAAUGCUCCGGGUGCCGUCGCUAACGUUUUAAGUAUUCCGCCUGGGGAGUACGCUCGCAAGAGUGAAACUCAAAUGAAUUGACGG
RNAcentral lists this ribosomal RNA (563 nucleotides) under uncultured bacterium. RNAcentral describes it as "bacterial SSU rRNA". It matches the Rfam family "Bacterial small subunit ribosomal RNA", at positions 338 to 916 of the family's 1533-position model. The record is from RNAcentral.